CACCCUUCGGGGUGUGACUGCGUACCUUUUGUAUAAUGGGUCAGCGACUUAUAUUCUGUAGCAAGGUUAACCGUAUAGGGGAGCCGGAGGGAAACCGAGUCUUAACCGGGCGUUAAGUUGCAGGGUAUAGACCCGAAACCCGGUGAUCUAGCCAUGGGCAGGUUGAAGGUUGGGUAACACUAACUGGAGGACCGAACCGACUAAUGUUGAAAAAUUAGCGGAUGACCUGUGGCUGGGGGUGAAAGGCCAAUCAAACCGGGAGAUAGCUGGUUCUCCCCGAAAGCUAUUUAGGUAGCGCCUCGUGAAUUCAUCUCCGGGGGUAGAGCACUGUUUCGGCUAGGGGGCCAUCCCGGCUUACCAACCCGAUGCAAACUGCGAAUACCGGAGAAUGUUAUCACGGGAGACACACGGCGGGUGCUAACGUCCGUCGUGAAGAGGGAAACAACCCAGACCGCCAGCUAAGGUCCCAAAGUCAUGGUUAAGUGGGAAACGAUGUGGGAAGGCCCAGACAGCCAGGAUGUUGGCUUAGAAGCAGCCAUCAUUUAAAGAAAGCGUAAUAGCUCACUGGUCGAGUCGGCCUGCGCGGAAGAUGUAACGGGGCUAAACCAU
RNAcentral lists this ribosomal RNA (609 nucleotides) under Salmonella enterica subsp. enterica serovar Typhimurium. RNAcentral's name for it is "partial 23S ribosomal RNA". It matches the Rfam family "Bacterial large subunit ribosomal RNA", at positions 580 to 1190 of the family's 2925-position model. Lineage: Bacteria; Pseudomonadati; Pseudomonadota; Gammaproteobacteria; Enterobacterales; Enterobacteriaceae. The record is from RNAcentral.